GACGAACGCUGGCGGCAUGCCUUGCACAUGCAAGUCGAACGGCAGCACGGGUGCUUGCACCUGGUGGCGAGUGGCGAACGGAUGAGUAAUACAUCGGAACGUACCUUAUCGUGGGGGAUAACGCAGCGAAAGCUGUGCUAAUACCGCAUACGCCCUGAGGGGGAAAGCGGGGGAUCGCAAGACCUCGCGCGAUUAGAGCGGCCGAUGCCUGAUUAGCUUGUUGGUGGGGUAAAAGCCCACCAAGGCGACGAUCAGUAGCUGGUCUGAGAGGACGGUCAGCCAGACUGGGACUGAGACACGGCCCAGACUCCUACGGGAGGCAGCAGUGGGGAAUUUUGGACAAUGGGGGCAACCCUGAUCCAGCAAUGCCGCGUGAGUGAAGAAGGCCUUCGGGUUGUAAAGCUCUUUUGUCAGGGAAGAAACACCGGCUCUAACACAGUCCGGGAAUGACGGUACCUGAAGAAUAAGCACCGGCUAACUACGUGCCAGCCGCCGCCGUAA
This 501-nucleotide ribosomal RNA is filed under the name uncultured bacterium. RNAcentral describes it as "partial 16S ribosomal RNA". It matches the Rfam family "Bacterial small subunit ribosomal RNA", at positions 28 to 523 of the family's 1533-position model. The record is from RNAcentral.